Portunus trituberculatus (swimming crab) is the source of this 499-nucleotide long non-coding RNA. RefSeq lists it as uncharacterized. The transcript has 2 exons. The record is from RefSeq and is a predicted model, not a curated record. NCBI's taxonomy places the organism in Eukaryota, Metazoa, Arthropoda, Malacostraca, Decapoda, Portunidae.
CUUCAUCAAGCUCAAGCUUUUCAAGUCAUAGUCUUAGUACAUCUGGAUUUCUGUCCUCAACAUCAGCAAGUUUAGAACCGUCAGGGAGUAUCAGCGGCACAGCGUCUAGUAGCACCUUGGACUGUAUCUGUGAGGGAAGUAGUUCAAGUAAGUGUGAGGAUUAGAAAUAAGUAGACUUCUAAGGAAAAAUGUACGUAUGUAUUGCGUAUCUGAAGUUCUAAUAGUGGAUUAUGGAAGACAAUAGUUAGACAUAGAUCAGAACAGUGCCAUCCAAACUACCACAACUUGGUAAAGUGUAGAUCCGUCAAAGUGUAAAAUGUAGAGUUUGAAGAAAAGCCGCAGUGAAAUCACCAUUUUCUAUUGAAACUCUUGUUAAAUUCUUGUGACGUAUCGGGACAAAAAUAAUCCCAUCGUCAGACACUGAAACACAUGCAGAGAGUAAGUGAGGAGACUUGUACACCAUCAAAAGGUCCCGGAAAUAAAGAGGUCCUGAACAGCU